ACCCCGCGCGUGGUUCCCAGCAGAGGAAGAGGCAGGAGCGGAGGGUGCCGCCCAAAGCCGAGUGGAACGAGUCCAUCCGACCGGCGUGAACAUCCCAGGCGAGACAGCCUGCACCCCGCGACAUACGCUCCGGCGGGGUACCUUACGCGAACCGUUUCUCAGCCGCUCUGCAGAAUUGGUACUCGGCACACCAACUCCAAGCCUGAUCCCCUAGCCCCACUGUGCCCCCAACCCCGGUGUUUAAGGCAGGUGGUGCAAACGCCCCCGCCCUCGGGCGCCUCCUGCCGGGGAGAGGGAAGGCGGCGGGCGCUGAGCAGUCGGGCGCAGGGCGGGGAGAGAACUCCGGGGCCGGGAAGAAGCCGGGAGCUUCCCUGAUGGUGCCGCCGCCUCCGAGCCGGGGAGGAGCGGCGAAGGGGCAGCUAGGCAAGAGCCUGGGUCCGCUGCUGCUGCUCCUAGCUCUAGGACACACGUGGAGUUACCGAGAGGAGCCCGAGGACGGCGACAGAGAAAUCUGCUCGGAGAAUAAAAUCGCCACGACCAGAUACCCAUGUCUGAAGCCUUCAGGCGAGCUCACCACGUGCUUCAGGUAAGUCUCAAGGCUCGGCCGAGUCCGCCCCGCGCGCGAGGCUGGUUGGGGAGGCAGCGCCACGGAGGAGGGGUUUGGAGACACGCUUGGGGACCAGAGCCACGGUGGUGCUGGGACGUAUUGGCGAUUUCUUGGUGCAGCCCACCCCCCACCCCCCUUUUUUGCAUGUGGUUUCUGGGUCAGAGCAGCGAUGGGUUGACUGAGUGUCUGCUCCUGGAGUUUGUGCUCCAAGAUCCUGAGGGAGGUGCUUUACUGCUCCCUGGAAUACCUGCGAGGCGAAGGUUGGAAAAAAAAGGUUGUAAAUUUAUAAGGAAAGUGGAUCAGAUUGUGUAUUUAGAAAACAAAACGCAAAAGCAACCGUCUGUCUUUGCUGUGCUGCACUGUUUACAUCCAGAGUCGUCAACAAGGAAAUACUUGGCCCUUGGCUGUCUUUUUGACCUUCUGCCAGGACAGAGUGUAAUGCGCCGUCACGGUCUCUGUGGGCAGAAGGAUGGGGCAGGAUUGCGGGCAGUCGAUAGGGUUGUGUUAAGUGAAAACAGAGCGUCAAGAUUGUUGAGCUACAAAAACAGCCUUUCUGUAAACUCGAUCUUCAGAUCACCUGGGUGCUCAUUAAAACUAAGCAUGGAUGGGCUAAAGAAUCUGUAGUAUGAAAAAUGCUCAUAGGUGAUUCUUAUUCUCAACAAGGGGCAUCAAGGCUCCCUAUUUGCAACCUCUUAGAGGCAAGGGUUGAUUUGUCACAUAGGUUACUGUCCCAGUGCCUUCACUGGAAGGAGGCACGUGGGCACAAACACUUCUGAGGUGCAACCUACCGAGAUCACGCACUCCACCUAACUUCAUCUCUGUCUCAGGGAAUUGUGCAUUGCCCUGGGUACCGAGAUAAGUAUCAAGUUGUACAAGAUAAUAGCAAUCCUCAAAAGUGAACUCAGUAAGAGAGGAAAGAUGUAACAGAUGAAACUUAAGGGUUUCAGCUGUAAGCAGUUUCAUAUGCACAAAGGUUCAGGUGUAAGUGGUUCUAGGGCUGGUCAGUUUAGAGGUACAAAGGCACAUUUUGACCAUGCUUUAUGAAACCUGUUGGCAGAGGAAUGACUAAUCAUUUAAGCCACAGCUACGUGGCUUGAGAAAAGGACUGCCCUCUCUUGAGACGUGGGUGGUGGAACACCAGGCGGGAACAGGUGAGUUAGGGAGUAGGGUUCAGUUGGCAGGUGUAAAGAUGUAGGUUAACUAGGUGAGCAAGGUUGCUUAGCUUGGGACCUGGCCUGGUGGUAUCAACUCCGGGACUUUGCCUGGUUCCAGCCUUGUGUUUCAUCUACACUAUUUCUUGGAACACUUUUUUUUUUCUUAUGACCACAGCAUAAAACCUCUACUUUAAAAUGGAAAAUGACCCUGAGAUUGUUUGCUCAUUUAUUUGGUCCCUGAAGGUCAGACUGCUUGUAAGUCAGUGACAGUUACAAAAUGCAUGUCCGAUUUUCAUGAAACCAUUGGUGCCUGCCUGAUUAGUGUUCUAAGCUGAUUGCAUUCGUUACGCUGUUACUGUUUUUUUUUUCCCCCCAGACUUAAAAUAACUUUUCUCUACUAAGACAACAGGAGACAAUAGCCAUGUCUUGAUUUUUCAUUAACAGCAACCCGGAGAAACAGUUUAUAGAGCUAAGGAAAAAGAUACCUCUAGGAGAAAAGGGCUUUGUUUUGGAGACAGAGGAAUGGCAGAAUGGUUUCAGCUGAAGAGAAUGGUAAUGGUCCCUGUGAAUAGAGUCCUAUUCAUUUUCCUUUGAGUUCUAUGUGUACUUCAUUGGUUUUACACAGCUUCUAUAACCUUGCAACUUUCUAAAGGUUGGUUGGCAGUCGCUGCCCCCAUUUUGAACCCCAAAAAUGGAAGAACUUUGUGUGUUCGUUGGUUUGUGAAUUCUAAUUAUCCUGGUCCUGUAGACCCUUGCCACUUCCAGUGCGGUCUGGAAAUGGGCACAGGCAUCAUGUGGGAGCCUGUAUUGUCUUAUGCCCCUGCCCAGACCUCCUGAAUCAGAACCUGCACGUUAAUGAGAUGUGCAUUAAAGCUUGAAGCGCUGCUGUAGAAACCAGUGUCCUCAGUGAGGGUCAUGGUGCAAACCAAACCUGUUGUGACAGAUUCUCAGGAGCUCAGAGGCCUCUACAGCUGAGCGGGUAGUUAGCCCUUACUACCAUAUUAAUGUAAAACCAGACAAAGAACCAGCCUUCCAGGAAAACCAGACUCUUCAAUUGUUCGAUGACCUUUAAUAAAGCUGUAAGUAAGUGGCAGAGCUGCUGUUCGGGGAAUGCUAUCUGACUGCAUAGAAUUUGGCUUGUCCUGAUGUCUUCUGGCAAAUGGCCUUUUCACACAAGAGAAUGAAUGUCCAAAGUCACUCUUGAAGUGUGGAAAGUAAUCUUUUAACCCUGAUUUAAAACAAAACAAAACAAACAACUUGUUGUGGAGGAUGCGUUUAAUACUAAAAAUGAAUAUGGCAGGUGCAGGUAAUCUGAAUCUACCACUAUUCCUAAAAGUAUAUGGAGACUUAAGUGAUAGGGAAAAGAGAUGAGUUCAAAAUAAUCAUUGUUCUGUGCCCCCCCACACCUCUGUACACUUGUUUUUCAUGGUUUUAUCUAAGCGACAUCUUUUCACUUUAGCCUUAUAUUAAAUGACAGUUUAAGGACUGACUGUCCAGCACCCCUCUAUGCACUUUACUUAAAUGUAGCUCUAAUCCUCAAAGCCACUCUGUAGCAUUUGUGUUGUCUCAGUUUUACAGAGGGAACUGAAACUCGGGGAUUAAGUCAACUUGCUCAGGGUCAUAAAGUUAAUACAUGGUGAGAGCCAAGAUUCAAACCCAGAUUUGUCUGACUUCAAAGCCUGGGCCCUUUCAUCAUCUCAGAGGUGUCUACAGAUGAGACUGAGCUUUCUAGAUCCUGGGAUCUAAAUAAGGAAGAAGACUAUAAACUUAGAUGGCUAUAAACUCGAAAGAAGCAGUUAGAUAACGCUAACAUCCACUGUAACCAUAGUUAUGGUUUUCUGAAUUAUCAUUGCCCUUGAGAUGGUCUCAAAUAAUUGACUUUUUUUUUUUGUCUUGAGGGCUGCGCUUGAAGCAUAUGGAGGUUCCCAGGCUAGGGAUCUAAUUGGCGCUGUUGCUGCCGGCCUACACCAUAGCCACUGCAACGCUAGAUCUGAGCCACAUCUGUGACCUACACCACAGCUCAUGGCAAUGCCAGAUCCUUAACCCACUGAGUAAGGCCAGGGAUUGAACCUGUGACCUCAUGGUUCCUAGUUGGGAUUCGUUUCCACUAUGCCACGAUGGGAACUCCAAUUAACUGACUUUAUAUUGUACACUGGUGGUUGAUAGGUAUGACUUUUCUUCCUUGCAGGAUUUCAGCUCAAUCACAUGCUCUGUGUUUGUACAAACUCUUCCCAAAUGUGCCCUGAGCCAAGUACCUGGAGUUUAUGGAACACUGAAUGCGAGGGGCAUCUUGAGCUCAAGGACAUACUUGCUCAGUGUUAUAGUGUGGCAUAGUGUAUGUUCUUUUACCAGCAGUUAGGACUUCGGAGUUUGUGUGAUUUAUCUAGGUUCUAAAUUUAUUCUAGUGGAACUCAGUACCUAAAGUUAAUGGUAUUUACCCCUCUUGUGGCUGUUUUUUCCUACAAGUUAACUUUUUCCCUCCUUUUGAAUACCAUGAAGUUUAAACAAAGGGUUUAUUUAUUUUCCUUUUCCUUCACUGAGUCUCAUAUCAAUAAAAUGACAAAGGCUUUUUAAAAAUAUGGAGUUCCCGUUGUAGCUCAGUGGUUAAUGAAUCCAACAAGGAACCAUGAGGUUGUGGGUUCGAUCCCUGGCCUUGCUCAGUGGGUUAAGGAGCCAGGGAGCUGUGGUAUAGGCCACAGAUGUGGCUCAGAUCCUGCGUGGCUCUGGUGUAGGCCGGCGGCUACAGCUCCAAUUAGACCCCUAGCCUGGGAACCUCCAUAUGCCUUGAGAGCGGCCCUAGAUAAAC
This 4567-nucleotide long non-coding RNA is filed under the name Sus scrofa (pig). RNAcentral's name for it is "lncRNA (ENSSSCG00050000624.1)". The record is from RNAcentral. Lineage: Eukaryota; Metazoa; Chordata; Mammalia; Artiodactyla; Suidae.